GGGUAUAAAGUGGCCCUUCUGCUAGCAUUUCCCAAAGGAUGGAAGUUUUCUGCAGCUUGAUGAGAUUUAGGACUGGUGGUGCAGCUUGCUUUGUUUGAAAGUAAGGGCUACACCAAAGAACCUAAAGAUGGGCCUCUCCUCUGGAAGACUGUCAUCAGGUAUCCUGUGGGUGCACUUUCUGUCCACCCCUCUCCUGGUGACUAAUCAGCAGCCACUGGAGUAGUUGCACUUUCCUUCUUUUUCACAGGGACCUCCCUAAUGCCACACCCAUCCUGCUGGUUCCUUUUUUUUUAGAGCUUAUCAGGAUGUCAGCCUGCUGGUGAGGUUACAGGGAUCAGUGGAAUUAGAUGGGAAAAUUUUUUGAAAUGCCAACAUUUCAGUUUUAAAAGUUUCUCUCUUAUUUGUUGCAAUGAAACUUCGUUUGUGCCGUUUUUAUUGAAAAAUAAAGUGUGGUUUGGAAAUGCUUUAAUAAUAACUCUACCUUUCAGGAAUAGGAGGGGUCGAUUAUUCAGAGCUGUCUGACAGCUGGUAUGUGCUGAUGCAAAGAAGAGGAAACCAAGCUUUUUAAUCUCCAUUUUCUUUGUUUAUCAUACUAGAAAGCUUUGUUCUUUUUCCAAGUUUACAGGCCUGCAUGCCAACUUUUGAACACAAAGGGUACGUGCUCACCCGUUCCAGUACUAGGAGAGGUGGAAAUUAGAGGGAAACACUAUGGACAGAAAACUUUUUCUUUGAAAUUAUAUUAUUUUCCAGUAUAUUCUACAUCUAAAUUAAUAGCGCAGUAAACUAACACCAGUAUAUAACAAUGUGCACCAUCUACUGAACUCAGUUUUCUGGGCUUGAUCAAGAGUCAGUCUCUACAUUUUCAAGUUAAUCAGUUGACCUAUCUAUGCCUCUGAGAAAGAGAAAAGAAUUUGUUUUAGUGUUCUUUGGAUACGUGGUAAAUUACAUUAGAAAUGAUCUAUUUUGGGCUGGGAUUGUGGCUCAGCAGUAGAACGCUUGCCUAGCAUGUGCGAGGCCCUGGGUUCUAUCCUCAGCACCACAUAAAAAUAAACAAAAUAAAACUAUUGUUUCCAACUAAAAACUAAAAAAAAAAUAAACAGUUAAAAAAAAGAAAUGAUCUACUUUUCACCAUUGUAUCCCUAGAUAUAGUAGCCACAGUGGCUAUUAAACAUAAUAGGAGCUCUGGUGGAUUAGACAAAGGGGAAUGAAGGGAUGGGGAAUGGGAAUAAGAAAGACAGUAGAAUGAAUUGGACAUACCUUUCCUAUGUUUAUAUAUGAAUACACCACCAGUGAAACUCCACAGCAUGUACAAUCACAGAAUAGGAUCCAAAUUAGAAUAAGUUAUAGUCCAUCUAUGUAUAAUAUGUCAAAAUACACUCUACUGUCAUGUAUAUCUAAAAAGAACAAAUUAAAAAUAAGUUAAAAAAUAUAUAGGAGCUCAAUAAAAAUUUGUAAAAUAAAUA
RNAcentral lists this long non-coding RNA (1463 nucleotides) under Marmota monax (woodchuck). The record is from RNAcentral. Lineage: Eukaryota; Metazoa; Chordata; Mammalia; Rodentia; Sciuridae.